AUGAUCUCCCUCAAAUUGAAGCAUGCAUGCCUGCUGUGCAUGAUAAUGGCUGUGAUAACCCAGAGUCAGUCAACAUUAGACUCUCCUGUUCCAAAACAAUGGGUCAAUCCGAGCAAACUUAGUAACGAAGUAGGUUCCUGGCAGUCCUCAAAAAGCUCAGAAAAUUCCCUGAGCACAGAAUCUGACCAAAUUUCAUCCUCCGAAUCUUCAAAUGCUCAUCGAUUUACGGCCCUCUUAGCUGAUCUUUCUCGAGAAAAACCGAUUUCACGGCUACGGCUCGAAAAAUCAGCUCGCAGAAGACCAAGGACUCCCAAAACUAGUAAGCUGUCUUUGCCAAUCAGAAGUCAACGACUCAAACUGAACGAGCUAGCUGAUCAAGAAAGUCAGGAGUUCUCGAAAAAUACGCGUGAAACCAAAAAUGGGCCGAUGAAAUACGAGAUUCCUUUGAAAAUUUCGCAGGGAUCCGAUUCAGAAGACGAGAAAGCUCAGCGGUUGAAAAGCUCAAGUCUAGAAGCCAACGAGAUUCCAACCGUUGGAGAGCCUUUGACAAAUUUCUACCGAAGAUGGGAAGCGACCCCAAAGGCCGAUUCCGAGAGGACCACUGUCAGGAACUAUUUCCUCGAACAGUAUUCGGACAAGAAAACUGAAGGCAAGGUAAUUACCACGGAGUUUAACCCUUCACUCUCUAAGAAUGUAGAGAGCUCAGACUUUGGCCUUAAAACUGCGCUUCCAAAGCAGACUUAUCAAAGUCCUGAGAUGAGCCCUAAUGCAGGGACCUCACCCACAAGAAUCUUCGCAGAGAAAAUCGAAGAACUGUGGUCUCAACCUCAACAUCUAAGUCCCGUUGAGAUAUCAAUGGAAGCAAAGGGUCUAAGACCGCAAUCUCCUGAGAAUCACGAUCAAAACUUGGAGCUGCGGGCAUCGAAUAGCCGCGAUGUUAUGCCAGCAUUUGAACACUACGUUAUCAAUCCCUCAGACAUGAAUCCCCAGCUAAAAAGUUCGGUCAAUACACGAAAUUCAGAGGUACAUUUCCGUCGAAAUUCCUCAAACUUUCAAACAUUACCUUCCCAGAUGCCGCUUCAAAAUGUGCAAAAUUCAGGGACCGCUUUCCGAAACCUACCGAACUCUCAAGAGAAAAGUAUACCGAGUUUCGACACUGUAGAUAGCGUAGAGCGAGCGUUCGCUCCACGAGGUAUCGGGAUGAAAAGUCAGCCUUUCCCGUUAGACAGGCAAACCUUUUGCUCGUCGAUUUUGAGGCAGGAAGGCACUGACCCACAUGAGGACCCUACGCUUAAACUCCAGCGCUCCAGUCAGUUCAUCCCGUUCUGUCCAGAGGUACAUAACAUCACGGAGAUUUACUCGGAGUUGUGUGAGGACUGGGUGAGUGACGACGAGUUUUUCGAGGAGUUGAAGAAGAAGAAGUGGACAGAGGACAUUCUGAAGGUGCAGGGCCUAUCCAAGAUCCCCACUCUCCAAUCUCAGAGCGCCAUUUCAACAAGCAGUUUUUCGCCUCCGUCAUCUGAAGCUGUAAAGCCGCUGUCCGUUCAGACGUGGCAACCAUCGUCUGAAGCUGUAAAGCCGCUAUCUAUUCAGACGUGGCAACCACCAUCUGAAGUAAAGCCGCUACCCAUCCAGACGUGGCAACCGUCAUCCGUAGUAUCUCACCCGGUUGGAAAUGAAAUCGACGUGAAACCUUUGUCCAGCGGAUGGAGUCAGCUCCCAACCAGGAUCAGUGCCAAUGACUUAGCCGGUCUGAAUAACUUUUUCAUCCCUCUAGAAGCGCGAACUUACCCCCCUGGAGCAUGCGUUCCCGCCAACCAGAACCACUUAAACUACCCUCUCCAGGAGACCAAUACUCUCUCUUUUAAAAGCAUACCGCAACCGCCAAAAGGGUUCGAACAAUUCCAGGAGAUAAAGACUCUCUCCUUUAAUAGUAUACCGCAACCACCAAAAGGGUUCGAACAAUUCCAGGAGAUGAAGACUCUCUCUCUUAAUAGUAUACCCCAACCACCAAAAGGGUUCGAACAAGUUCUUAGUAACUGCGACAACAUCAUCAACCGAGAAAUGAAAAUUUCCUCGGAGGUCGUCGUUCCUCCGGAAAUUCUCGUGCCGGAAAUCAAAGUUUUCUCAUCGAAAAUUGUACAAGGCGCCAGGAAAAAUGAAGAACACAAGGAACACGAGACGCACGAAGAACACAAGAAGCACAAGGAACACGAAAAGCACAAGGAACACGAGGAGAAAAAAGAGCCUAGUUCGGCGGAGGGCCCUGUGAUCGGGAUGGAGUUGUUCCCGGAAUUCAACCAGGUGACGAAGACGAAGAUCCUGAAGGCGCAGAAGAUCGAGAAGGAUGGAAACGUCAUAUUUCUGCCGGAGACCAGGAGCAAGGAACACAAGGAUGAAAAGGAGGAGACACUGGAGGUGGAGGUGCACGUGACGACGUUUAAUUGCACGAAGAGGGACACUCCAGAGAACGAGCGAGUAGGAAAGAUCGACCUGAAGGAGCUACACAAGGGCGAGACGUGGCCCCAUCUCACUUACCUCAAGCUCAUACCGCUGUCUGAGUCCUUCGAGCAGGAGCUCCAGGAGCGAGAUAAGUCCGAGGAGGUGGCUGAGCUCCUCAAAGCCAACGCCACUGCGGACAUCAAGCCCAUUAAUCAGACUGAAGCUGGAGAAUAGUACAAACUUUUAAAUAUAGUUGAAAUUAAUUUAAAUUAAAUCGAUGAAAUAUAUAUGUAAAUAUACUAAUUUAUUCUGCAAAUAUUUUGUAUUCAUUGUUUUGAAAAGGAUGUCCUUCCAUGGGUGUCGAACAAUUGGAUUUUUAGAUUUCUAGGAAAAAGUCUUUACAGUGUAUUGAAGAAUAGUUACAAUUGGUUUUGUUUGUUUUUGUACCAAUGUUGAGCGGACAUUUGAGGCUAAUUCGGCAAUUUCUGACUCAGAACAUGGUGGGCUUGAACUUUAAACAGAUUUUGCUUUAUAUUACGAUUUUUGAACUGAGAGCUUCAAGUCAUCAUACCCCUGGUAUGGUGCGAUCUUUUUAAGCCUUUUACAUUCCAAAAUGUGUUUGGAAAACAGUCCGUUAUGUCUAGUUAUUAAUGACUCAAUCUUGAAUUUUUAUGUCAAAAGGCUUCCUCCGUAAUGGGCGAUCAUUGGACUACAUUUUGCAAUUAGGAACUACUAUAUUAGAAAUGAUUUCAGAAAAAAACGUACGUGGCAUUAGUUUCUCUAUGCAGAUAGGUGUGUUUAUGGAUGAGCCAGGAUUAGUAUUUCCUUAUUUCAAAAUGAAGUCCUUUUGUGUCAUAGUUGGACUGGAAUAACAUAGGCGUCAAUACUGAAUGUCGAAAAAUACGGCUCUCAAUUUGCGACAUUGCAGAUUUCCCGGCACAUAUUAUUUUUCCCGCGAAUAACUAGCGAACAACAUUUCUUGGCAGUUCACUGACGUUUUUCACCCAACAUGGAAUUUACUAUGAAAGUUUAGAAAAAUGAGUGCAUUCAUUUAAUAAAUAAUAGCUACAAUAACAGUGGAAAUUUGGAAAACAUUGCAAUCGAGGCACGCGUUUUGUAACAUAGUCUUUAGUUAGCUUAGUUAACCUAGUUAUUUAGUUAGUAGAAUUGUUCACAGAAUCUGCAUUAAGACUAAGUUUAACUUGAAAUCAUUAAUAUCUCAAUUUUUUCAAAUCUGUACUUAUGCGCCUCGUCCUCCAAGCCUAUCAUAAUAUGAUGUAAAAAUAUUGAUUGAUUUCCUUCUGAAGAAAUGAAGUUUCAGGGUAGCCAUUUUGAAAUACCGCAUAUGAGUUACGUGUUUUUCCGGUUUGAACAUCGUCAUGUAACCCUAUAUCUCGUGUUCCCGGAGCCAGUUCCGCGGUCGGAUCUCCUGUCAACGAGCCCCCGAACGUUUCUAACUUUCCGACGUGAGCGCGUUCAAUUAAGGGCCCCGCGCGGUGCUUUUCGGGGGCAUUUGUCGUCCCUGAAUGAGGAAUAGCGCCGGCUCCUUGCGCGAGGUGGCAGGGGAGCGCCUUUUCAAAAGACGGCUUUGAUUUCGUAUGCAGCUUACGCCUUUGCGCGCUUCGACCCAAAAUCAAAGGUUCCUUCCUCGGCCUCCUUCCCAGUGGCGUGGCGUGCUUUGCGAUAUAUCGAUUGCUCGGCCGUUCAAACCUAUGGAAAAGUAUCGAUGUACAGGGUGUUCGCAGCGAACACCUUAAUAAUCGAUUCUUUACCACAGCUUCAAAUAGGGAAAUAUCGAUAGAUCGCAAAGCACGCCACGCCACUGCUUCUUCCGCGUGUCGCUCGUGGGUUAGUGACUUCCAGAUCGGGAAAUAUAGGGGAGGGCUCCCAGAAAAGGCUUCUCAUUUUCCUCGAAUCAAUUCGGUGUGUGUUCACAUGAUGGCUUGAAUUGGCAAUGAACUUGGUGAACUGCCAGCUCCCAUUUUAAUCUCGUAUUGGUGGACUAACGUACACGAUCCCUUGAAUUCCCGAAAUUAACCUUCGAUUAUCGUGUUGCUAUCCUUGGAUUAAUGAUGUACACUUUGCAGCAAGGAACUUCAAAGCAUUGUAAUACCGCUAAGAUUGUGCGAUUUUUUGGAUCUUACGAUUCAAAUUUGGGGUUUAAACAGUUUAACUAAACAAAAGUUUGUCAACCAAAAAAAAAGUUGAUUAA
This 4654-nucleotide long non-coding RNA is filed under the name Bemisia tabaci. RNAcentral's name for it is "lncRNA ENSSSA1UGG001529". Lineage: Eukaryota; Metazoa; Arthropoda; Insecta; Hemiptera; Aleyrodidae. The record is from RNAcentral.